AUCCUGGCUCAGGACGAACGCUGGCGGCGUGCCUAAUACAUGCAAGUCGAGCGGACAGAUGGGAGCUUGCUCCCUGAUGUUAGCGGCGGACGGGUGAGUAACACGUGGGUAACCUGCCUGUAAGACUGGGAUAACUCCGGGAAACCGGGGCUAAUACCGGAUGGUUGUUUGAACCGCAUGGUUCAAACAUAAAAGGUGGCUUCGGCUACCACUUACAGAUGGACCCGCGGCGCAUUAGCUAGUUGGUGAGGUAACGGCUCACCAAGGCAACGAUGCGUAGCCGACCUGAGAGGGUGAUCGGCCACACUGGGACUGAGACACGGCCCAGACUCCUACGGGAGGCAGCAGUAGGGAAUCUUCCGCAAUGGACGAAAGUCUGACGGAGCAACGCCGCGUGAGUGAUGAAGGUUUUCGGAUCGUAAAGCUCUGUUGUUAGGGAAGAACAAGUACCGUUCGAAUAGGGCGGUACCUUGACGGUACCUAACCAGAAAGCC
This 494-nucleotide ribosomal RNA is filed under the name Bacillus sp. BAB-2905. RNAcentral's name for it is "bacterial SSU rRNA". It matches the Rfam family "Bacterial small subunit ribosomal RNA", at positions 16 to 492 of the family's 1533-position model. The record is from RNAcentral. Lineage: Bacteria; Bacillati; Bacillota; Bacilli; Caryophanales; Bacillaceae.